RNAcentral lists this non-coding RNA (89 nucleotides) under marine eukaryotic metagenome. RNAcentral describes it as "S-adenosyl-L-homocysteine riboswitch". It matches the Rfam family "SAH (S-adenosyl-L-homocysteine) riboswitch aptamer". The record is from RNAcentral.
CCCGAGGAGCGUUGCAGCGGGCGUAGGUCGAACAUGAUCUAUGCCUCCGUCAGGCUCGGGAAUUUUACUUUACAACAACGGCGCUCAUC